Molecule: long non-coding RNA, 1454 nt
Organism: Corticium candelabrum
Lineage: Eukaryota; Metazoa; Porifera; Homoscleromorpha; Homosclerophorida; Plakinidae
Exons: 3
Source: RefSeq, a predicted model, not a curated record
UAAAAUCGAUACUGUAAUGUCUUGCUUCGAUACUGUUUAUCGAAUUAGGAUCUAUUGGAGUCUGUCCUAUAAUUGCUGCAACCUUGUUAUGUAUCAUAUCUGCAUUUCCUUUCUGAAGGCAGACUGCCAAUUGACGACGCCAAUAGUUUGCAAAGUUACUGUAAGACAUGUCCAGUGCUGCUGGCGCGAGACUGGCAGCCUCCUUCAAAGUGUUAACACUCUCAGCACCCCAACAGACAAACACUUCCAAUGCAAAAGGUCGGAACAAGUGUCCUAGGUCUAUUGCUGCUCUCUCUCUCUCUCUCUCUCUCUCUCUCUCUCUAUUGUCAGCAUCUUCCAUCCUUGACAUCAAAUCCAUCUUUUCCCCAAAUUGAGUAAGUUCAUUCGCAACUCUAUCAAGGCCACUGCUUUCUUGUCUUUUUCGUUUUUUGGGUGCACUAGGAGGUGCACUAGGAGGGCUAUGGUGCCUACUAGUACUGGCAGGUGUUUCAGCGAAGCUUGGGCUUUGGUCACUGCAAUCUGGAGGUGUACCACUGCCAUUUCCAGAUAGACAUUCAGCUCCUGCUUGGGUAGAGUCAUACGGAGAGGCAAUGAAGGAAGCGUACACUAAUGCGCAUCCAGACAAUGUAGGUUAUUUACGCAUGCGCGCUAAGGGAAAUAGUUGGUGUGACUGUGCAGAUGCGCGUAUGGAGUGAAUUCGUCGCUGUUUCCUCGGUAAUUUACUUUUAACAGUUAUAUUUAUUCAACAACUAUAGUGAUACUCUGGCUAGUAAAGUUACUCUUUGAUCUAUCUAUGCUUGUGCUUGAUACUUUGUUUACAGCUCACCAAAGCUCGUGCUCAUGGAAAGUGGAUCUCCCGGAUAGAAGAAUCGAACCAGCACUAACACAACGGAGAAAGUAAAACGCACACGCACACACGCGCGCGUUUAUGCUCUAAUUAAGGAACGUUAAUUUGCAGUGAAAGCAAACAUCAUUGAGACUGGGAGAUGUCAGAUAGAGUUCCAGAUGACUUGAAGGGAAAUGGUCAAUAUUCUUCAUUGAAGUAUGACACACUAUUUAGGAGAAACAAUUAUACAAGUUUACAAGAGACGAUGAAGCAAAUGUUGAAAUAUUGUACAUAUUUCUGUCUGUUGGAACCUAGCUGGAAGGAUGAGAAGUUUGAACAUGAACUAACAGCAUUAGUUGUUCAUCCACUGAGAAAUGUUGGUCCUUGUUUUCUUGUUGAAGCAGCUAUGCAAGACGAUGUGAUCACAAACUGGCCGAGACCUGUAGUUAUCGCAAAGGCUAGAAUAUCUUGAGCUACUUUCUGUAAAUAGAUUACUUUGCAAGUGUGCAUCAAUAUUUAAUUGUAAGGAGAGACAUGUAAUUGUUGAAACUCUCAAUGAUAUUGAAGUAGAUCUGUAAUCAUAGAGACCACACUGCAUGUGAACUUAAUUGAUACAAAUAUAACUAGA